Molecule: ribosomal RNA, 1154 nt
Filed under: Aspergillus fumigatus
Lineage: Eukaryota; Fungi; Ascomycota; Eurotiomycetes; Eurotiales; Aspergillaceae
Description: eukaryotic LSU rRNA
Rfam family: Eukaryotic large subunit ribosomal RNA (bases 522-1154)
Source: RNAcentral
AAGGAUCAUUACCGAGUGAGGGCCCUCUGGGUCCAACCUCCCACCCGUGUCUAUCGUACCUUGUUGCUUCGGCGGGCCCGCCGUUUCGACGGCCGCCGGGGAGGCCUUGCGCCCCCGGGCCCGCGCCCGCCGAAGACCCCAACACGAACGCUGUUCUGAAAGUCUGCAGUCUGAGUUGAUUAUCGUAAUCAGUUAAAACUUUCAACAACGGAUCUCUUGGUUCCGGCAUCGAUGAAGAACGCAGCGAAAUGCGAUAAGUAAUGUGAAUUGCAGAAUUCAGUGAAUCAUCGAGUCUUUGAACGCACAUCGCGCCCCCUGGUAUUCCGGGGGGCAUGCCUGUCCGAGCGUCAUUGCUGCCCUCAAGCACGGCUUGUGUGUUGGGCCCCCGUCCCCCUCUCCCGGGGGACGGGCCCGAAAGGCAGCGGCGGCACCGCGUCCGGUCCUCGAGCGUAUGGGGCUUUGUCACCUGCUCUGUAGGCCCGGCCGGCGCCAGCCGACACCCAACUUUAUUUUUCUAAGGUUGACCUCGGAUCAGGUAGGGAUACCCGCUGAACUUAAGCAUAUCAAUAAGCGGAGGAAAAGAAACCAACAGGGAUUGCCUCAGUAACGGCGAGUGAAGCGGCAAGAGCUCAAAUUUGAAAGCUGGCCCCUUCGGGGUCCGCGUUGUAAUUUGCAGAGGAUGCUUCGGGUGCAGCCCCCGUCUAAGUGCCCUGGAACGGGCCGUCAUAGAGGGUGAGAAUCCCGUCUGGGACGGGGUGUCUGCGUCCGUGUGAAGCUCCUUCGACGAGUCGAGUUGUUUGGGAAUGCAGCUCUAAAUGGGUGGUAAAUUUCAUCUAAAGCUAAAUACUGGCCGGAGACCGAUAGCGCACAAGUAGAGUGAUCGAAAGAUGAAAAGCACUCUGAAAAGAGAGUUAAACAGCACGUGAAAUUGUUGAAAGGGAAGCGUUUGCGACCAGACUCGCCCGCGGGGUUCAGCCGGCAUUCGUGCCGGUGUACUUCCCCGUGGGCGGGCCAGCGUCGGUUUGGGCGGCCGGUCAAAGGCCCUCGGAAUGUAUCACCUCUCGGGGUGUCUUAUAGCCGAGGGUGCAAUGCGGCCUGCCUGGACCGAGGAACGCGCUUCGGCUCGGACGCUGGCGUAAUGGUCGUAAAUGACC